GGAGCACGUGAAAUUCCGUCGGAAUCUGGGAGGACCAUCUCCUAAGGCUAAAUACUCUCUAGUGACCGAUAGUGAACCAGUACCGUGAGGGAAAGGUGAAAAGCACCCCGGAAGGGGAGUGAAAUAGAACCUGAAACCGUGUGCUUACAAGUAGUCAGAGCCCGUUAAUGGGUGAUGGCGUGCCUUUUGUAGAAUGAACCGGCGAGUUACGAUUUGAUGCAAGGUUAAGCAGUAAAUGUGGAGCCGUAGCGAAAGCGAGUCUGAAUAGGGCGUUUAGUAUUUGGUCGUAGACCCGAAACCAGGUGAUCUACCCUUGGUCAGGUUGAAGUUCAGGUAACACUGAAUGGAGGACCGAACCGACUUACGUUGAAAAGUGAGCGGAUGAACUGAGGGUAGCGGAGAAAUUCCAAUCGAACCUGGAGAUAGCUGGUUCUCUCCGAAAUAGCUUUAGGGCUAGCCUCAAGUGAUGAUUAUUGGAGGUAGAGCACUGUUUGGACGAGGGGCCCCUCUCGGGUUACCGAAUUCAGACAAACUCCGAAUGCCAAUUAAUUUAACUUGGGAGUCAGAACAUGGGUGAUAAGGUCCGUGUUCGAAAGGGAAACAGCCCAGACCACCAGCUAAGGUCCCAAAAUAUAUGUUAAGUGGAAAAGGAUGUGGCGUUGCCCAGACAACUAGGAUGUUGGCUUAGAAGCAGCCAUCAUUUAAAGAGUGCGUAAUAGCUCACUAGUCGAGUGACACUGCGCCGAAAAUGUACCGGGGCUAAACAUAUUACCGAAGCUGUGGAUUGUCCUUUGGACAAUGGUAGGAGAGCGUUCUAAGGGCGUUGAAGCAUGAUCGUAAGGACAUGUGGAGCGCUUAGAAGUGAGAAUGCCGGUGUGAGUAGCGAAAGACGGGUGAGAAUCCCGUCCACCGAUUGACUAAGGUUUCCAGAGGAAGGCUCGUCCGCUCUGGGUUAGUCGGGUCCUAAGCUGAGGCCGACAGGCGUAGGCGAUGGAUAACAGGUUGAUAUUCCUGUACCACCUAUAAUCGUUUUA
RNAcentral lists this ribosomal RNA (1034 nucleotides) under Staphylococcus aureus. Its description in RNAcentral is "partial 23S ribosomal RNA". It matches the Rfam family "Bacterial large subunit ribosomal RNA", at positions 419 to 1461 of the family's 2925-position model. The record is from RNAcentral. Lineage: Bacteria; Bacillati; Bacillota; Bacilli; Caryophanales; Staphylococcaceae.